CUUUCAACAACGGAUCUCUUGGUUCUGGCAUCGAUGAAGGACGCAGCGAAAUGCGAUAAGUAAUGUGAAUUGCAGAAUUUAGUGAAUCAUCGAAUCUUUGAACGCACAUUGCGCCCUGUGGUAUUCCGCAGGGCAUGCCUGUUCGAGCGUCAUUA
This 155-nucleotide ribosomal RNA is filed under the name Hymenoscyphus sp. A TL-2012. RNAcentral's name for it is "partial 5.8S ribosomal RNA". It matches the Rfam family "5.8S ribosomal RNA". From Rfam's summary of the family: 5.8S ribosomal RNA (5.8S rRNA) is a component of the large subunit of the eukaryotic ribosome. It is transcribed by RNA polymerase I as part of the 45S precursor that also contains 18S and 28S rRNA. The record is from RNAcentral. Lineage: Eukaryota; Fungi; Ascomycota; Leotiomycetes; Helotiales; Helotiaceae.